This 72-nucleotide transfer RNA is filed under the name Plenodomus lingam JN3. RNAcentral describes it as "tRNA-Thr (AGT) (tRNA-Thr-AGT-2-1)". It matches the Rfam family "tRNA". From Rfam's summary of the family: Transfer RNA (tRNA) molecules are approximately 80 nucleotides in length. Their secondary structure includes four short double-helical elements and three loops (D, anti-codon, and T loops). The record is from RNAcentral. Lineage: Eukaryota; Fungi; Ascomycota; Dothideomycetes; Pleosporales; Leptosphaeriaceae.
GCCCUCUUGGCUCAGUGGUAAAGCGCAUCACUAGUAAUGAUGAGAUCAGUGGUUCGAUUCCACUAGGGGGCA